GUGUUCACUUCAGCAGCACAUACACUAAAAUUGGAACAAUACAGAGAAAAUUAGCAAGGUCCCUGCUUAAGAAGGAAAAAAAAAAAGAGUAUAUAACAUGAAU
Cricetulus griseus (Chinese hamster) is the source of this 103-nucleotide small nuclear RNA. The record is from Ensembl. NCBI's taxonomy places the organism in Eukaryota, Metazoa, Chordata, Mammalia, Rodentia, Cricetidae.